AGCAAACAGGAUUAGAUACCCUGGUAGUCCACGCUGUAAACGAUGUCGAUUUAGAGGUUGUGGUCUUGAACCGUGGCUUCUGGAGCUAACGCGUUAAAUCGACCGCCUGGGGAGUACGGCCGCAAGGUUAAAACUCAAAUGAAUUGACGGGGGCCCGCACAAGCGGUGGAGCAUGUGGUUUAAUUCGAUGCAACGCGAAGAACCUUACCUACUCUUGACAUCCAGCGAAUCCUUUAGAGAUAGAGGAGUGCCUUCGGGAACGCUGAGACAGGUGCUGCAUGCCUCUCGUCAGCUCGUGUUGUGAAAUGUUGGGUUAAGUCCCGCAACGAGCGCAACCCUUAUCCUUUGUUGCCAGCACGUAAUGGUGGGAACUCAAAGGAGACUGCCGGUGAUAAACCGGAGGAAGGUGGGGAUGACGUCAAGCCAUCAUGGCCCUUACGAGUAGGGCUACACACGUGCUACAAUGGCAGGUACAAAGAGAAGCGACCUCGCGAGAGCAAGCGGAACUCAUAAAGUCUGUCGUAGUCCGGAUUGGAGUCUGCGACUCGACUCCAUGAAGUCGGAAUCGCUAGUAAUCGUAGAUCAGAAUGUUACGGUGAAUACGCUCCCGGGC
This 613-nucleotide ribosomal RNA is filed under the name Proteus mirabilis. Its description in RNAcentral is "bacterial SSU rRNA". It matches the Rfam family "Bacterial small subunit ribosomal RNA", at positions 767 to 1379 of the family's 1533-position model. Lineage: Bacteria; Pseudomonadati; Pseudomonadota; Gammaproteobacteria; Enterobacterales; Morganellaceae. The record is from RNAcentral.